This 426-nucleotide ribosomal RNA is filed under the name uncultured prokaryote. RNAcentral's name for it is "bacterial SSU rRNA". It matches the Rfam family "Bacterial small subunit ribosomal RNA", at positions 355 to 774 of the family's 1533-position model. The record is from RNAcentral.
UGGGGAAUAUUGCGCAAUGGGGGAAACCCUGACGCAGCAACGCCGCGUGAGUGAUGAAGGCCUUCGGGUCGUAAAGCUCUGUCAGGUGGAAAGAAUAAUACUGAGCUAACAGUUCAGUAUCUGACGGUACCGCCAAAGGAAGCACCGGCUAACUCUGUGCCAGCAGCCGCGGUAAGACAGAGGGUGCUAGCGUUGUUCGGAAUUACUGGGCGUAAAGGGCGUGUAGGUUGUACAGUAAGUCGGGUGUGAAAUCCCACGGCUCAACCGUGGAACGGCAUUCGAUACUACUGAACUUGAGUCCAAGAGAGGGAAGUGGAAUUCCCAGUGUAGAAGUGAAAUUCGUAGAUAUUGGGAGGAACACCGGUAGCGAAAGCGACUUCCUGGCUUGGCACUGACACUGAUACGCGAAAGCGUGGGGAGCAAACA